Picea glauca (white spruce) is the source of this 122-nucleotide non-coding RNA. Lineage: Eukaryota; Viridiplantae; Streptophyta; Pinopsida; Pinales; Pinaceae. The record is from Rfam.
AUGUAGUGUAAUGCCUACAACAUUAAUGCAUCGGAUCCCAUUAGAACUUCAUAGUUAAGCAUGCUUGGGAUAGAGUAGUAUUGGGAUGGGUGACCUCCUAGGAAGUCCUAGUAUUUUACAUG